GACGAACGCUGGCGGCGUGCUUAACACAUGCAAGUCGAACGGAAAGGCCCUGCUUUUGUGGGGUGCUCGAGUGGCGAAAGGGUGAGUAACACGUGAGUAACCUGCCCUUGACUUUGGGAUAACUUCAGGAAACUGGGGCUAAUACCGGAUAGGAGCUCCGGCUGCAUGGUGGGGGUUGGAAAGUUUCGGCGGUUGGGGAUGGACUCGCGGCUUAUCAGCUUGUUGGUGGGGUAGUGGCUUACCAAGGCUUUGACGGGUAGCCGGCCUGAGAGGGUGACCGGCCACAUUGGGACUGAGAUACGGCCCAGACUCCUACGGGAGGCAGCAGUGGGGAAUAUUGCACAAUGGGCGGAAGCCUGAUGCAGCAACGCCGCGUGCGGGAUGACGGCCUUCGGGUUAUAAACCGCUUUCGCCUGUGACGAAGCGUGAGUGACGGUAAUGGGUAAAGAAGCACCGGCUAACUACGUG
This 468-nucleotide ribosomal RNA is filed under the name uncultured bacterium. RNAcentral describes it as "partial 16S ribosomal RNA". It matches the Rfam family "Bacterial small subunit ribosomal RNA", at positions 28 to 507 of the family's 1533-position model. The record is from RNAcentral.